UACGGGGGGGGCAAGCGUUGUUCGGAAUUACUGGGCGUAAAGGGCGCGUAGGCGGCCUGCUAAGUCGGAUGUGAAAUCCCUCGGCUCAACCGAGGAACUGCAUCCGAUACUGGCGGGCUUGAAUCCGGGAGAGGGAUGUGGAAUUCCAGGUGUAGCGGUGAAAUGCGUAGAUAUCAGGAGGAACACCGGUGGCGAAGGCGGCUACCUGGACAGAGUCUGACGCUGAGGCACGAAAGCUAGGGGAGCAAACAGG
This 253-nucleotide ribosomal RNA is filed under the name uncultured bacterium. RNAcentral's name for it is "partial 16S ribosomal RNA". It matches the Rfam family "Bacterial small subunit ribosomal RNA", at positions 524 to 776 of the family's 1533-position model. The record is from RNAcentral.